CCUACGGGGGGCUGCAGUGGGGAAUAUUGGGCAAUGGGCGCAAGCCUGACCCAGCAACGCCGCGUGAAGGAAGAAGGCUUUCGGGUUGUAAACUUCUUUUCUCAGGGACGAAGAAAGUGACGGUACCUGAGGAAUAAGCCACGGCUAACUACGUGCCAGCAGCCGCGGUAAUACGUAGGGGGCAAGCGUUAUCCGGAUUUACUGGGUGUAAGGGGGGCGCAGACGGCAGCGCAAGCCAGGAGUGAAAGCCCGGGGCCCAACCCCGGGACUGCUCUUGGAACUGCGCGGCUGGAGUGCAGGAGGGGCAGGCGGAAUUCCUGGUGUAGCGGUGAAAUGCGUAGAUAUCAGGAGGAACACCGGUGGCGAAGGCAGCCUGCUGGGCUGCGACUGACGUUGAGGCCCGAAAGCGUGGGGAGCAAACAGGAUUAGAUACCCGAGUAGUC
Molecule: ribosomal RNA, 443 nt
Filed under: uncultured bacterium
Lineage: Bacteria
Description: partial 16S ribosomal RNA
Rfam family: Bacterial small subunit ribosomal RNA
Source: RNAcentral